Molecule: unclassified non-coding RNA, 372 nt
Filed under: uncultured bacterium
Lineage: Bacteria
Description: contains 16S-23S intergenic spacer region
Source: RNAcentral
UCCGAGUUGACCCCGGCAGUCUCCGACGAGUCCCCGGCAUAACCCGCUGGUAACAUCGGACAAGGGUUGCGCUCGUUGCGGGACUUAACCCAACAUCUCACGACACGAGCUGACGACAGCCAUGCACCACCUGUUUAGGACCCCGAAGGACACCGUAUCUCUACGGCUUUUCCCUAAAUGUCAAGCCCAGGUAAGGUUCUUCGCGUUGCCUCGAAUUAAGCCACAUGCUCCGCCGCUUGUGCGGGCCCCCGUCAAUUCCUUUGAGUUUCAAUCUUGCGAUCGUACUUCCCAGGUGGGAUACUUAAUGCUUUCGCUCAGACACACACAGUGUAUCGCGUAUGUCGAGUAUCCAUCGUUUAGGGCGUGGACUAC